This is a long non-coding RNA of Rhineura floridana, 2109 nucleotides long. RefSeq lists it as uncharacterized. The record is from RefSeq and is a predicted model, not a curated record. The transcript has 3 exons. Lineage: Eukaryota; Metazoa; Chordata; Lepidosauria; Squamata; Rhineuridae.
AGGGCCUUUGAUGUUGAUCGUAGUGUACGGGCAGGUUCAUAUCGGGAGAGGCGUUCCAGCAGAAAAAGAUCCCCAAGGUGUCCAGUUUUCUCUAGUGGCAUGUUUUUACAUCAUUCCUGUUUGCCUGAACUACAUAAGCAAAUCGACCCAUCGGUGUCUUACACUUUUGUUUAUCUUAGUCGGGGUUAUGAAAAGGAGGUUAAAGACCCAGUCUCUCCUCACAGGGCUUUGUUUCCAGUCCCCUGAGCAUCCUUGUUGCCCUCCUCUGAACCUGUUCCUGUUUGUCUGCAUCCUUCUUGAAGUGCGGAGACCAGAACUGGAUGCAGUAUUCGAGAUGAAGCCUAACCAGUGCUGAAUACAGGGGAACUAAUACUUAACACACUUUGGAAACUAUACUUCUGUUAAUGCAGCCUAAUAUAGCAUUUGCCUUUUUUGCAGCCACAUCACACUGUUGGCUCAUAUUCAGCUUGUGAUCAAUGACAAUUCCAAGAUCCUUCUCACAUGUUGUAUUGCUGAUCCAAGUAUCCCCCAUCUUACAACUGUGCAUUUGGUUUCUUUUUCCUAAGUGUAGAACUUUGCAUUUAUCCCUGAUGAAUUUCAUUCUGUUGUUUUCAGCCCAAUGCUCCAGCCUAUCAAGGUCCCUUUGAAUUUUGUUUCUAUCUUCCACGGUAUUAGCUAUGCCCCCCAAUUUUGUAUCAUCUGCAAAUUUGAUAAGCGUGCUCUGUACCUCCUCAUCCAAGUCGUUAAUAAAAAUGUUGAAGAGCACUGGGCCCAGGACCAAGCCCUAUGGUACCCCUCUCGUUACUUCUGUCCAGUUUUAGAAGGAACCAUUGAUAAGCACUCUUUGAGUACUAUUCUGGAACCAACUGUGGAUCCACCUGAUAGUUGUUCCAUCCAGCCCACAUACAUUAAGCAUCAACCACAGUUGCCUGGAGCAUACCACUCAAACAAACAAAAUUCUUUGAUUAGAAAUUAAGAUAAAAAUCUUAGCUAAAAGAUGGUGUUCCCAGGUUCAGCUGAAGUGAUGGAAUCAUUCCUUUUCACCUGCUUAGGGAGCCUGGAUAGGGAACAUUUAACCUAGCCUACUUGCUAGAUUACUUGCUGCUUGCUAGAUCUGGCAAGAAGGGUUUAAGUGCCCUCAAGCUGGACCAGGCAUCAGAAGGCCAUUGUAGGAAGAAAAGAGCCUAUUGUUGUGGAGAUGUCAGAUGGGAGCACUCAGGAAUAAAGAUGGAUGCCCCUAAAGGUUGCAAUUCUAAGCACACUUACUAAAGGACUAGGCCUCAGAGAAUUCAACAGGACUUACUUCUGAGUAGAUAUUGUUAGGAUUGUGCUGUUGGUAAGGCUUGACUAGGGAUCCUCUGCAGAAAUAUCCAUAUCCAAGCAGAGUUGGCAACCUCCUGCCUGGAAUGCCCUGCCCCUGCAUUUUAACUUGGUUGCUCCAAACUUGACUUGACCCUUCACUUCAGAAAGAGGUUUGAGAAAUGAGUCAGAGUUAAGAAGAUUCUCUAUCUGUUUCUGCCUAACCUGUGGGCUGCUAUAAACCCACUUUUAACAGGCAACCCAAUUCCAGUGAGUAAUAAUUGACAGAAAAAGCACAUAUGGUUUGAUCUACCUUCACAGGCCAUAGCUUGGGAACAACAGCAAUUGCAGCCACACUUCCCAGUGAGUGAAUUCUCUUUUACCACUAUUGGGCAAGAAACAAACCAUCAUGCAAAUGACAAGGUGCAUCAUCAGUGGGUUUAAGAUGAUUGAACGCAUGGAACCACUGUUGUUGCUUCUAUGGAUAUAAGGGAGCGAGGUUAAAGGUAAAUGAAAUGCAAACAGAAAAACAAAAACAAAAGACAGUGCGAUACCAUACCAACCACAACAAGAUUCCUAGGUGUAAGGCAGAAAACUCAGCAACCCACAUUCAGUCAGGGUUCCUAACCAAAACCCAAAACUAAAAGAAUACUGGCAGCCAGUAUUGUUGAAGUUCUGGUACCUGCAGUACACUGCCUACCCUUUACCAGCUGUUUGCAGCAGAACCAGAGCUUGGAGGUAAUUUGUUAAUUGUGAUUCAUGACUUUUUUGAGGAACGAGUGGGUAAUUCCUUUACAUUUUGAUUGUAAC